CGUGAGUGAUGAAGGCCUUCGGGUCGUAAAGCUCUGUCAAGUGGGAAGAACCUGCAGUAUGCUAAUAUCAUAUUGCACUGACGGUACCACUGAAGGAAGCACCGGCUAACUCCGUGCCAGCAGCCGCGGUAAUACGGGGGGUGCAAGCGUUAUUCGGAAUCAUUGGGCGUAAAGAGCACGUAGGCGGCUUGGUAAGUCAGAUGUGAAAGCCCGGGGCUUAACCCCGGAAGUGCAUUUGAUACUGCCAAGCUUGAGUAUGGGAGAGGGAAGUGGAAUUCCUGGUGUAGAGGUGAAAUUCGUAGAUAUCAGGAGGAACACCGGUGGCGAAGGCGACUUCCUGGACCAAUACUGACGCUGAGGUGCGAAGGCGUGGGUAGCAAACAGGAUUAGAUACCCUGGUAGUCCACGCAGUAAACGUUGUUCACUAGGUGUAGCGGGUAUUGACCCCUGCUGUGCCGCAGUUAACGCAUUAA
RNAcentral lists this ribosomal RNA (473 nucleotides) under uncultured delta proteobacterium. RNAcentral describes it as "bacterial SSU rRNA". It matches the Rfam family "Bacterial small subunit ribosomal RNA", at positions 400 to 863 of the family's 1533-position model. Lineage: Bacteria; Deltaproteobacteria. The record is from RNAcentral.